UGGGGAAUAUUGGACAAUGGGCGAAAGCCUGAUCCAGCCAUGCCGCGUGUGUGAAGAAGGUCUUCGGAUUGUAAAGCACUUUAAGUUGGGAGGAAUGGCAUUAACCUAAUACGUUGGUGUCUUGACGUUACCGACAGAAUAAGCACCGGCUAACUCUGUGCCAGCAGCCGCGGUAAUACAGAGGGUGCAAGCGUUAAUCGGAAUUACUGGGCGUAAAGCGCGCGUAGGUGGUUCGUUAAGUUGGAUGUGAAAUCCCCGGGCUAAACCUGAGAACUGCAUUCAAAACUGACGAGCUAGAGGAUGGUAGAGGGUGGUAGAAUUUCCUGUGUAGCGGUGAAAUGCGUAGAUAUAGGGAGGAACACCAGUGGCGAAGGCGACCACCUGGACUGAUACUGACACUGAGGUGCGAAAGCGUGGGGAGCAAACA
Molecule: ribosomal RNA, 427 nt
Filed under: uncultured bacterium
Lineage: Bacteria
Description: bacterial SSU rRNA
Rfam family: Bacterial small subunit ribosomal RNA
Source: RNAcentral